AGUUGGUGGAGUGAUUUGUCUGGUUAAUUCCGUUAACGAACGAGACCUCGACCUACUAAAUAGUCAAAAUAUCUACGGAUAUCUAGACUUCUUAGAGGGACAAUCGGUGCGUAGCCUAUGGAAGUUCGAGGCAAUAACAGG
This 141-nucleotide ribosomal RNA is filed under the name Cercozoa sp. RNAcentral describes it as "partial small subunit ribosomal RNA". It matches the Rfam family "Eukaryotic small subunit ribosomal RNA", at positions 1296 to 1460 of the family's 1831-position model. Lineage: Eukaryota; Cercozoa. The record is from RNAcentral.